GUUACAGUUGACAUGUGGACACAUUCUCCCACCUGAGCUGUGGAUUUCUGCAGCUUCUUCAGACUGACCAUGGGCCUCCUGGAAGCUUCUCUGACCAGGAUGACCAGGUCUUGGUACGCUGGAUUCUUCUGAUACUGACUUAAGAGUGUCCAGCAGGCUGACGGUCAACAUCUGGAGUUUCGCUCUGAGUCCUGACCUCCUCUUUGUGCUUCUGUGGCUUAUGAGGCCAUAAAUUGGUCACCGUGGCGACCAGCAGGAUUAUUGAAAGUCCCUCGUCUGACUUUCUGAGUGUUCACCAUCACUCUGCUCUGCAGCUGGUCUCCUUUUCCACUUUGCGGUCACUUGAUGUUGAAGAGGUGAGUGUGUUAGAGGAAAUGUUAAUGUCAGGUUUAGUCUGUAUGCACUCAGAGGUCAUUUGUACCUGCUGCUGCUGCUGCGGUUGUAAUGAUGUAAACCCUGGUUGGUUGGAUAGUUGACAGCAUUUACUGAGGCAAAGCAGAACAGCUGCUGAUCCUGAGCUACUCUUACAAAUGGAAGAUCAGUGAAGAGCUUCCCUCACACAGCAUAUCCUUUAUUGCACAUGUGUCAAAGUCAAGGCCCGCGGGCCACAUCCAGCCCGCGAGAUCAUUUUAUAUAGACGUACUAUUAUUGUUAUGCAUGGCCCGGCGAUAUGAGGCGCUAAUAAUGUACAAACUACAGAUCCCAUAAUGCAGCGCUGCAGCCUCUUUGCUGAGCGCUAGGCUAACUGGGAACAUUCCCGCGUCAAUCAAGUCAAACUUUUUGCGAAGCUAGCUCCUCACAAUGGUGGAGAGAAAAGUUGAUUCUGAAAGCAGAGCCUUUCAGCGCCAGCGGGAGACUGAAUAUAUGUUUACAGACAUGCUGGUAAACCUGUGUGACUUAUUAGUGGAGCUAAUGUGGCUGUAAUUAAGGAAUUUAAUUUAAGACGAGACAAAACGUCAGGAUAAGCUGAAAAACCUAAAUGCAGAGCAGAAAAUAAAGUAGAAGAAUGAAGAAGAAUCUGACAUUUCAGCAGACGUUUUUCACCAGAGCAAAAUCACAAAGUCAAGCUGUUGUGAAAGCAAGUUUUAUUGUAGCAGAGGAGAAAGCCACAUCAGCCCGCUACCACUCUGAAGAGCUGCAUGAUGGAGGUGUGCAACGUCUUGUGUCCAGACAAAACGCAGAUUUUGGCAAAUGUGAGCCUGAGGAGAAAUACGAUUGCUGAUCGGGUUUGUGAGAUGGCCACUGAUUUAAGAACACAGUUGUGUGAAAGAAGCAAAAACUUUAUUGCAUACGCUCUUGCUGUGGAUGAAAGUACAGACAUGAUGGACACUGCACAGCUGGCCAUCUUCAUCCGUGGAGAGGAAAUAUUGAACAUUAAAUCGAUGCACAGGACAACGACGGGAAAAGACAUUUUUAAAACAUAUGUCAAAGUGUAACUGACGUGAAACGUACAACAGAUGGAGCGCCGGUGCUGUGCGGUGAAAAAAGCAGACUAGUCAGCAGGAUGCGAGUAAAGAUGCAGGAGGAGAAAUGUACCGGUGAGUUAACAGCAUAUCACUGCAUCACACACCAGGAAACGCAAGGUGGUAAAGUCCUAAAAAUGGAGCAUAUAAUGAUCGCCGUAACGCAAACCGUAAAUUUUAUCCGAACUAAAGGUUUAAAUCACCGUCAGUUUCAGUCUUUUAUGUGGGAAAUAGAUUCAGAGUUUACCGACAUUCCUCAUCAUACAGAGGUCCGCUGGCUGAGUUGGGAUAAAAGUUCUCAAUAGAGGUUUUGAGCUCAGCAAGGAAAUCUGUCAGUUCAUGAUCAGUUGGCAUGUAUGAUGUGGUGAAGGCAUUUCAAGUGAAGCUGUCACCAGUGCAACCUGCCUCACUUUCUCUGUUGCCAAGUAAUGUUGAACCAAGUCAGCGCACUUUACUGAACUACACCUGUGCAGAUUCAGAUGGAGCUGCAGUGUAAUGAUGCACUCAGGCAAAAUACGACACUGAAUGGCCCGAAGAGUUUAUUAGUUUAUUAGUUCCACUCCUGAAGCAGUGCCCAGCUCCGUCUACAUGCGGCUCCAACCUUGUGUUUGCUUUCAUUUAUUUUUUCUGGGGUUUUGGCAGCAUGUUCAUA
Molecule: non-coding RNA, 2115 nt
Organism: Maylandia zebra (zebra mbuna)
Lineage: Eukaryota; Metazoa; Chordata; Actinopteri; Cichliformes; Cichlidae
Source: RefSeq, a predicted model, not a curated record